UGGAGUAACAGCAGCGAGGCCUUCUCGGAGGCAUUGUAAAUUUCACAGGAACGGGGAGGAGGAACCGUGGAACAAAUGGGAUCUUUUUCAACCUGAACCGGUUCCUGGAAGUUUUACCACUUUGAUGAGG
This is a long non-coding RNA of Salarias fasciatus (jewelled blenny), 130 nucleotides long. RefSeq lists it as uncharacterized. The record is from RefSeq and is a predicted model, not a curated record. The transcript has 3 exons. NCBI's taxonomy places the organism in Eukaryota, Metazoa, Chordata, Actinopteri, Blenniiformes, Blenniidae.